CCGAAGACAGGGAGGAGGACGAGGCUGGCUAGGCAGGGAGGCCGAGGGUGAAGUGCAGUGGGAGGCGCAUCGGUUAGUGCAGAGGGAGGUCUAUGGUCAGCUCAUUGGAAUCUCACAGGCCACCACGGGGAGAGCAAUCACGCAGGCACAUCAACCUCCCCCACCAGGUAUGUUCAAUUGAACCUUCACUAUUAGUUGAGCUAACCGUCUCCAACAGCAACGUCCCAAUCACAAAUAAUUAUUUAGGUUUCUUACUGUGUGCGUGGAUGGGGCAUCGGAAGGAUAGAUGGCAGUACUCGUGUGGAUGCAACAACUGACUGUUAGUUUGUUCAUUCAGAGACUACCACGAACCAGUUUGAUUUGUGCUAUAAUGCUCUUGCAAAUAAUCAUAGAUGUUGGUGAAAACUGCAGAUGUUGUGGUGUUCAGGAAGGAGCGCAGAUACAGCAGCUGUCCAUCUGCAACCGCGGCCACGGGUGCCUAAUCUAACGCGACCUCCUGUUUUGACAUCGUCCUUGGUAGCUGCAAGCGUGGAAACAACCUUGGCAGUGCAGCGGCAGCCAUGAGGUUGUUCCUAGACCACUCCACCUUUGAACUGUACAAUCUGCUGUGCUUUCUAGCUAUUCUAUUUAUAUGUAGCCAUAGAUUGGUACAGUUAAUUCAUAAAUAUGAUUCAAUAGGAUUUGAUAUUUUUUUCAUGUCUCAAGUUUUUAGCUCUUCCCUCCUGGUGUGCAAAUUUUUUAGAGGAAUUUGGUGUGCCAAUUAUUUUCCUGCUUACUGUAGUUAUAGUUUUUCUCACUGUUAGAGCAGAGUAAAAUUCAAACUAUGAUAUUAGUGGUGGUUAGCUGAUAACUUGAUCAUAACAGGGGGCACACUAAUCUUCUUUCUUUUCUUCUCUAACAAAGUCUUAAUAUUAUAAGAAUGUUGUUCUCUUCUUUCAUAUUUGACAAAUAAAAUUUCCCCUAAUUUCAGUUUGGAUAAGCCAAGGUUGCUUUUGGAUCUUAGUAGAAGAUAGACGUUACGGAUUUAUAGACAAACAAUAGAUGUUGAUUUAGGGGUUCCGUCUGAUACUCAUGUCUUCUCUAUUUGGGAUACAAGUUCAAGUGAUCUUUUAGGCUACUAUUAAAGGGAAAUAUGUAUGCCGUUUCGUUCAUUUCAUCUCCACCUCCCCACCUUGCAUGUGUGUUCCCCUUCCCACCGGUUUUAUUGAUUUUUUAUAACAAUAUGCCUUAGGUUAUAAACCUACAAUAUAUUAACAUUCAGCAGAUACUCAUUUUUGUCUGUAGCUACACAAUCCAACUACUCAAAGGAACAUACAGUUCUAGAAGUGAGAACUGUUGAGCUAUUAUAGUGCAGCCUUGGGAUGAUAGAUGUUCAGGCCAGCUAUGCAGACCUUAAGGUAAAUGUUUUUCCAGCUAAUUAACAUGAAAUGUCUUGUAACUUGAACUAAUAAUGAACAACUGAGGAAUGCUUCCUGAAUGAAUCCAAAAUUGUUGGAAACACCACCGUCCAGUUGGAGAGGGAGCUAUCUGGAUCUCUAUCCAACCAGGACAUGUCUGCUUACAACUUUUUGUUGAAAAAGGUUGCGAAAAAAAAUCUAAAUCUGGAGGUAGGUGAUCCCAACUCACAACUAUGGAUAGCAAAAGGAAGAUGCAGUACUUGAUGUGAAAAUUUACAGGAAUAGAUAAUCUAACUUACAAUUAAUAAGCUUAUACUAUUAUUGUUGAUGCAAUACUAAUUUUACACGUUUUUUCAGUUGUAAAUACAAUAUGAAAUAAAAAGUUAUUCACAGGACCAUGGGUGUUUGUUAGUUUGUAUAAUCACACAAAUAAAAUAAGAGUUAAUUUGUCUAUGUAUGGUUUGUAUCCUGUUAUUUGCUACAAUAUUUAGCAAGUGUGCAAGCUAUUUAUGUGAGGUUAACUACGGACCUAUAAGCGAAGGAGUUUUUCUUCUCUACACAAGUAAGGUGUAAGCCAGCGAUCUUGGUUAUAUAGUUGACUUAAAUCCUGAAGGGACGAGCCUGCAUCUUUUCUUUCUGAUUUGAAAUGUAUUCAAAAUUCUUAUGCCCUGGUGUGCUCUAAUUCUUGGUAGUAUGUUCUCACAUGAACAGUCAUUUGAACAUUCAUCUAACUUUCUGCUUAAUAAAUUUGUAGCUGAGAUGAUGUAGCCGAAGGCACACUUCGGUAUUGUUUUAUUUCAGUCUUCCCUUAUCCUUUUUGUCUAAGAGAUAUUUCCCAGCAUGUCUGUCCAAACAUAUAUUACAGUUAUUACUAAGAAGGCUAUCCUCUUUUCUAUUUCAGCUCAAAGAUGGAUCGACCUGCGCAUUGUUGGGAUCUGUUUUAAUUGAAGUACUUCCUUCUACAGAAACAACUGGUACACAAGGAGCGUGUUUCCUUCUACAGAGGUAGCUGGUGCACAUGGAUGUAGUGAAACACGGUCAGAAACACUUGAGAUAUUAGCCGCAUAUAUUGAGAUAUUUCUCCUUUUAUUCUGGGUCCUGUAUCCUAAAAUAAGUAGCCAACUCAUUUAUACAUGGUGGUCAGGGCAAUGUGUAACGUCUACCUUUGGUAUUGUAUUAUUUUGUUCAAUGCAAUUCAUCAAAAUGACAAUGCAACAACAUAUGUAAAUGUUCUUUACUACCUUCUCAUUCUGCGCUGAGAUCAAUGAAAGUUGCAGGCAUCUAUAGCUUUGAAGCUAGCUCUUUGGGCGGCUUGAGAUAGGACAGCUACAUUGUUCUUUAAUUAUAGGUUCCAUCAAUGGUAAUGAUGGUUUCCCAACAAGAAUGCUAG
RNAcentral lists this long non-coding RNA (2787 nucleotides) under Triticum aestivum (bread wheat). RNAcentral describes it as "long non-coding RNA (TAES_LNC005689)". Lineage: Eukaryota; Viridiplantae; Streptophyta; Magnoliopsida; Poales; Poaceae. The record is from RNAcentral.